RNAcentral lists this ribosomal RNA (1456 nucleotides) under human gut metagenome. RNAcentral's name for it is "bacterial LSU rRNA". It matches the Rfam family "Bacterial large subunit ribosomal RNA", at positions 833 to 2317 of the family's 2925-position model. The record is from RNAcentral.
UCGAACCCGGAGAUAGCUGGUUCUCCUCGAAAUAGCUUUAGGGCUAGCCUCAUACGAGUCUUGCGGAGGUAGAGCACUGAAUUCCUAAGGGGGCGUCAAAGCUUACUAAGGGAUAUCAAACUCCGAAUGCCGUGUAGAUGAUGUAUGGGAGUCAGACGAUCCGAGAUAAGUUGGGUGGUCAAAAGGGAAAGAGCCCAGACCAACAGCUAAGGCCCCAAAAUGUGUGUUAAGUGGAAAAGGAUGUGGGAUUUCGAAGACAACUAGGAUGUUGGCUCAGAAGCAGCCAUUCAUUCAAAGAGUGCGUAAUAGCUCACUAGUCGAGAGGUCCUGCGCCGAAAAUGUCCGGGGCUAAAACACACUGCCGAAGCUUUGGAAUUGAGAAUUCAAUUGGUAGAGGAGCAUUCUUAAAGGGACGAAGCAGUACCGUAAGGAGCUGUGGACUUUUAAGAAGAGAGAAUGCCGGAAUGAGUAGCGAGAGGAAGGUGGGAAUCCUUCCGGCCGAAUAUCUAAGGUUUCCAGAGUAAAGCUGAUCUGCUCUGGGUAAGUCGGGGCCUAAGGCGAGGUCGAAAGACGUAGUCGAUGGAUAACAGGUUGAAAUUCCUGUACUAUCCUGUAACAGAACUGUGGGGACACAGGCAGAGAGCGUGAGCCGGGAAUGGAAAGACCGGUACAAGCGAGGUAGGAGAAGAGUUGGCAAAUCCGCUCUUUAAUCUGAAGACGUGAUGUGGACUGAAAAUAAGUAGGGAAGCACGUGAGCUGACUGUCAAGAAAAGCCGCUAUUGUUUGCAGGAUACCCGUACCGUAAACCGACACAGGUGGAUGAGGAGAGAAUCCUAAGGCCGACGGGAGAAGCAUUGUUAAGGAACUCGGCAAAAUGACUCCGUAACUUCGGGAGAAGGAGUGCCAGUAAGAUGGCCGCAGAGAAUUGGCCCAAGCAACUGUUUAGCAAAAACACAGGUCUAUGCAAAACCGAAAGGUGAGGUAUAUGGGCUGACGCCUGCCCGGUGCUGGAAGGUUAAGGGGAGAGGUUAGCGCAAGCGAAGCUUUGAACUUAAGCCCCAGUAAACGGCGGCCGUAACUAUAACGGUCCUAAGGUAGCGAAAUUCCUUGUCGGGUAAGUUCCGACCCGCACGAAAGGCGUAAUGAUUUGGGCACUGUCUCAACAAUGCACCCGGUGAAAUUGAAAUACCAGUGAAGAUGCUGGUUACCUGCGCCAGGACGGAAAGACCCCAUGGAGCUUUACUCCAGCUUGAUACUGGGAUUCGGUAUUGCAUGUACAGGAUAGGUGGGAGGCUAGGAAAUGGUAACGCCAGUUGCCAUGGAGCCAAUGUUGGGAUACCACCCUUGCAGUACUGGGUUUCUAACCAGCAGCCGUGAUCCGGCUGGGGGACAAUGUCAGGUGGGGAGUUUGACUGGGGCGGUCGCCUCCGAAAGGGUAUCGGAGGCGCUCAAAGGU